GAUGAACGCUGGCGGCGUGCCUAAUACAUGCAAGUCGAGCGAACAGACGAGGAGCUUGCUCCUCUGACGUUAGCGGCGGACGGGUGAGUAACACGUGGAUAACCUACCUAUAAGACUGGGAUAACUUCGGGAAACCGGAGCUAAUACCGGAUAAUAUAUUUAACCGCAUGGUUCAAUAGUGAAAGACGGUUUUGCUGUCACUUAUAGAUGGAUCCGCGCCGCAUUAGCUAGUUGGUAAGGUAACGGCUUACCAAGGCAACGAUGCGUAGCCGACCUGAGAGGGUGAUCGGCCACACUGGAACUGAGACACGGUCAAGACUCCUACGGGAGGCAGCAGUAGGGAAUCUUCCGCAAUGGGCGAAAGCCUGACGGAGCAACGCCGCGUGAGUGAUGAAGGUCUUCGGAUCGUAAAACUCUGUUAUUAGGGAAGAACAAAUGUGUAAGUAACUAUGCACGUCUUGACGGUACCUAAUCAGAAAGCCACGGCUAACUACGUG
This 497-nucleotide ribosomal RNA is filed under the name uncultured bacterium. RNAcentral describes it as "partial 16S ribosomal RNA". It matches the Rfam family "Bacterial small subunit ribosomal RNA", at positions 28 to 507 of the family's 1533-position model. The record is from RNAcentral.